RNAcentral lists this ribosomal RNA (467 nucleotides) under uncultured bacterium. RNAcentral's name for it is "bacterial SSU rRNA". It matches the Rfam family "Bacterial small subunit ribosomal RNA", at positions 15 to 475 of the family's 1533-position model. The record is from RNAcentral.
GAUCCUGGCUCAGAUUGAACGCUGGCGGCAUGCUUUACACAUGCAAGUCGAACGGCAGCGGGGGCUUCGGCCUGCCGGCGAGUGGCGAACGGGUGAGUAAUGCAUCGGAACGUGCCCAAGUCGUGGGGGAUAACGUAUCGAAAGGUACGCUAAUACCGCAUACGUCCUGAGGGAGAAAGCGGGGGAUCUUCGGACCUCGCGCGAUUGGAGCGGCCGAUGUCGGAUUAGCUAGUAGGUGAGGUAAAAGGCUCACCUAGGCGACGAUCCGUAGCGGGUCUGAGAGGAUGAUCCGCCACACUGGGACUGAGACACGGCCCAGACUCCUACGGGAGGCAGCAGUGGGGAAUUUUGGACAAUGGGCGCAAGCCUGAUCCAGCCAUGCCGCGUGAGUGAAGAAGGCCUUCGGGUUGUAAAGCUCUUUCGGCCGGGAAGAAAUCGUGUUCUCUAACAUAGGACAUGGAUGACGG